This 914-nucleotide ribosomal RNA is filed under the name uncultured marine archaeon. Its description in RNAcentral is "bacterial SSU rRNA". It matches the Rfam family "Archaeal small subunit ribosomal RNA", at positions 1 to 921 of the family's 1478-position model. The record is from RNAcentral.
UUCCGGUUGAUCCUGCCGGAGGCUACCGCUAUUGGAGUUCGAUUAAGCCAUGCGAGUCGCGAGUCUUAGGGACUCGGCGUACCGCUCAGUAACACGUGGGUAACCUGCCCUAUGCUGGGGGAUAACCUCGGGAAACUGAGAAUAAUACCCCAUAGUUCACCACGCCUGGAACGGUGGGUGGAUCAAAGCUCCGGCGGCAUAGGAUGGGCCUGCGGCGUAUCAGGUUGUAGGGGGUGUAAUGUACCCUCUAGCCCUCUACGCGUACGGGUGUUGAGAGACAUCGCCCGGAGAUGGAUUCUGAGACACGAAUCCAGACCCUACGGGGUGCAGCAGGCGCGAAAACUUGGCAAUGCGAGAAAUCGUGACCAGGGAACUCCAAGUGCAUCGGGUAAGACCGAUGCUUUUCUUGACUCUUCAAAGGUCUUGGAAUAAGGGGUGGGUAAGGACGGUGCCAGCCGCCGCGGUAAUACCGGCGCCCCAAGUGGUAGUCGCUUUUAUUGGGCCUAAAACGUCCGUAGCCGGUCUGGUACAUUCGUGGGUAAAUCAACCAGCUCAACUGGUUGAAUUCUGCGAGCACGGCCAGACUUGGGACCGGGAGAGGUGUGGGGUACUCUCAGGGUAGGGGUAAAAUCCUGUCAUCCUGAGAGGACCACCUGUUGCGAAGGCGCCACACUAGAACGGAUCCGACGGUCAGGGACGAAGCCUAGGGGCACGAACCGGAUUAGAUACCCGGGUAGUCCUAGGUGUAAACGCUGUGGACUUGAUGUUGGGGGCGCUCCGAGCGCACUCAGUGUCGAAGCGAAGGUGAUAAGUCCACUGCCUGGGGAGUACGGUCGCAAGGCUGAAACUUAAAGGAAUUGGCGGGGGAGCACCGCAACCUGAGGAUUGUGCGGUUUAAUUGGAUUCAACGCCGG